This 390-nucleotide ribosomal RNA is filed under the name Bacillus aerius. Its description in RNAcentral is "bacterial SSU rRNA". It matches the Rfam family "Bacterial small subunit ribosomal RNA", at positions 343 to 725 of the family's 1533-position model. Lineage: Bacteria; Bacillati; Bacillota; Bacilli; Caryophanales; Bacillaceae. The record is from RNAcentral.
GGAAGGCAGCAGUAGGGAAUCUUCCGCAAUGGACGAAAGUCUGACGGAGCAACGCCGCGUGAGUGAUGAAGGUUUUCGGAUCGUAAAGCUCUGUUGUUAGGGAAGAACAAGUGCAAGAGUAACUGCUUGCACCUUGACGGUACCUAACCAGAAAGCCACGGCUAACUACGUGCCAGCAGCCGCGGUAAUACGUAGGUGGCAAGCGUUGUCCGGAAUUAUUGGGCGUAAAGGGCUCGCAGGCGGUUUCUUAAGUCUGAUGUGAAAGCCCCCGGCUCAACCGGGGAGGGUCAUUGGAAACUGGGAAACUUGAGUGCAGAAGAGGAGAGUGGAAUUCCACGUGUAGCGGUGAAAUGCGUAGAGAUGUGGAGGAACACCAGUGGCGAAGGCGAC